This 439-nucleotide ribosomal RNA is filed under the name uncultured bacterium. Its description in RNAcentral is "partial 16S ribosomal RNA". It matches the Rfam family "Bacterial small subunit ribosomal RNA", at positions 338 to 795 of the family's 1533-position model. The record is from RNAcentral.
CCUACGUGUGGCUGCAGUAGGGAAUAUUGCUCAAUGGGGGAAACCCUGAAGCAGCAACGCCGCGUGGAGGAUGAAGGUUUUGGAUUGUAAACCCCCUUUGUUAGAAAAGAUAAUGACGGUAUCCAACGAAUAAACCCCGGCUAAAUUCGUGCCAGCAGCCGCGGUAAUACGGAGGGUGCAAGGGUUACUCGGAAUGACUGGGCGUAAAGAGCGCGUAGGCGGGAUAGCAAGUCAGAUGUGAAAUCCUAUGGCUUAACCAUAGAACUGCAUUUGAAACUGUUAUUCUAGAGUAUGGGAGAGGUAGGUGGAAUUCUUGGUGUAGGGGUAAAAUCCGUAGAGAUCAAGAGGAAUACUCAUUGCGAAGGCGACCUGCUAGAACAUAACUGACGCUGAUGCGCGAAAGCGUGGGGAGCAAACAGGAUUAGAUACCCUGGUAGUC